GAUGAAUGCUGGCGGCGUGCCUAAUACAUGCAAGUCGAGCGAACAGACGAGAAGCUUGCUCCUCUGACGUUAGCGGCGGACGGGUGAGUAACACGUGGAUAACCUACCUAUAAGACUGGGAUAACUUCGGGAAACCGGAGCUAAUACCGGAUAAUAUAUUGAACCGCAUGGUUCAAUAGUGAAAGACGGUUUUGCUGUCACUUAUAGAUGGAUCCGCGCCGCAUUAGCUAGUUGGUAAGGUAACGGCUUACCAAGGCGACGAUGCGUAGCCGACCUGAGAGGGUGAUCGGCCACACUGGAACUGAGACACGGUCCAGACUCCUACGGGAGGCAGCAGUAGGGAAUCUUCCGCAAUGGGCGAAAGCCUGACGGAGCAACGCCGCGUGAGUGAUGAAGGUCUUCGGAUCGUAAAACUCUGUUAUUAGGGAAGAACAAAUGUGUAAGUAACUAUGCACGUCUUGACGGUACCUAAUCAGAAAGCCACGGCUAACUACGUG
This 497-nucleotide ribosomal RNA is filed under the name uncultured bacterium. RNAcentral's name for it is "partial 16S ribosomal RNA". It matches the Rfam family "Bacterial small subunit ribosomal RNA", at positions 28 to 507 of the family's 1533-position model. The record is from RNAcentral.